This 436-nucleotide ribosomal RNA is filed under the name uncultured Coriobacteriaceae bacterium. Its description in RNAcentral is "bacterial SSU rRNA". It matches the Rfam family "Bacterial small subunit ribosomal RNA", at positions 341 to 792 of the family's 1533-position model. Lineage: Bacteria; Bacillati; Actinomycetota; Coriobacteriia; Coriobacteriales; Coriobacteriaceae. The record is from RNAcentral.
ACGGGAGGCAGCAGUGGGGAAUAUUGCGCAAUGGAGGCAACUCUGACGCAGCAACGCCGUGUGCAGGAUGACGGCCUUCGGGUUGUAAACUGCUUUCAGUAGGGAAGAAAUAAUUGACGGUACCUACACAAGAAGCUCCGGCUAACUACGUGCCAGCAGCCGCGGUAAUACGUAGGGAGCAAGCGUUAUCCGGAUUCAUUGGGCGUAAAGCGCGCGCAGGCGGAUGUUUAAGCGGGACUUUUAACCCGAGGGCUCAACCCCCGGUCGGGUUCCGAACUGGACAUCUUGAGUGCGGUAGGGGCAGGCGGAAUUCCAUGUGUAGCGGUGAAAUGCGCAGAUAUAUGGAAGAACACCGAUGGCGAAGGCAGCUUGCUGGGCCGACACUGACGCUGAGGUGCGAAAGCGUGGGGAGCGAACAGGAUUAGAUACCCUGGUA